GCACAUUGUAAGAGCUGUAAAGAGAGAGGGAGUGGAGAGAGAACAGGCAGAACCUGAUAUGUAAAUGAGCAGAGCAAACGAAAGUAACUUUCGAAGACCGAAUGAUCAUUCCAGACUCUGUUUCUAUUGAGAGAGAGAUAAAAGGCUGGUUGAAUGAGUUGCCUAUGAAAGCUACUUCAUCUGCAAGAAAACAGGCAGCUGCACCAGUGACUGGGUCAGUGCUGUAAAAUGAAUCUCUCUGAGGAGAGAGAGGAGGGGGGCCCUGCCUCUAAAAUGAGUCUCUCUGAGGGACAUGACACCAAAGCUAAGAGCGCCCGGCCCGGGAUAUAAACCAGCCACCUUUCAACCACAGGUCCAACUCCUGCCACAGCUCCAACUCCUUAGCCGCUGGGUGAAAACCUGAGUUAAUUUUCUGAAAUAAGCAUGAGUUAAUCUGCCAAAAUGAAGACAAAAUGUUUUAGAGACAUACAUGGUAUCACUUGUUACAUAUAAGUAUUAUACAUAAAUCAUUGCCAAAAGCACAAGACAUAUAUUAUUAAUGGAUUGAUCAUAUAGAAAUAUAAAACAUUAUUUUUAACUUCUCCAAAGCAAUGACGUGGCAUUGUAUUGUAGUUCAACUGUAUUUAAUGGUGUAUGUAGUUGUGUUGUCAUGUGAAUGUUGUAUUGUAGUAACCAACUGUAUUUAAUGGUGUUAUGUAGUUGUGUUGUGAAUGUUGUAUUGUAGUAAUCCUCAACUGUAUUUAAUGGUGUUAUGUAGUUGUGUUGUCAUGUUGUGAAUGUUGUAUUGUAGUAAUCAACUGUAUUUAAUGGUGUUAUGUAGUUGUGUUGUCAUGUUUUGGAUAUUGCAUUGUAGUAGGCCUAGCCCUCACCAACAGAGACAGCAACAGACAACACAGAGAAAGUGAUGGAGAAAGUGAUGGAGAAAGUGACAGAGAAAGUGAUGGAGAGAGGCAGAGGAUGGGAGUGUACAGUAGACUGGGAUUAUAAUUACUGCACUGCGCGUGUGUGUGUGUGUGUGUGUGUGUGUCUGUGUGUGUGUGAGAGAGAGAGUGAGAGGGUGUUUUGGUACUGUAGGAUUCUUUAAUCAGUGUGGCUCAUUGGACAGGUCAGAGUCUCAACACAAUUGAAAACUUACCAUCAUCAAAACAGCAAAUUAUGGAAUUUCUCGUGGAAGAAUGGUUUCACAUCCCUCCAAAAGUUCCAGACACUUGAAGGAGCUGUUAAGAGAGAGGGAGGGAGAGAGAACAGGAAGAACCUGAUAUGUAAAUGAGUAGAGCAAACGAAAGUAACUUUC
Molecule: non-coding RNA, 1294 nt
Organism: Salmo salar (Atlantic salmon)
Lineage: Eukaryota; Metazoa; Chordata; Actinopteri; Salmoniformes; Salmonidae
Source: RefSeq, a predicted model, not a curated record